AUAAUUUCAAUAUUAAUUUAUCGAUAUUUAAAAAAAAAAUUUCUCACAUACGACCAACAUAAUAAUUUAUUUAGAGCAUUUAAAAUAAUUUAACAAUAACUCAAUCGGAUCAAAUAUUCUAAUAUUACAAAUUCAUAACUGAUUAUCCGAGAAGAAUUUAAGCGAACCAAUACCACCAAAAUUCUAGAAAUAAUACGACAAAGAUUUUAUCCAUCGGCAUGCAAAUCGAGGCGUUGCCUACGCAGUAGCUGAAAAAUUCAAUGUCGCUGAAAUUACGAUCCAAGACCAUCUAAUUGAAGCUCUCGACGCGAGGAGUCCGAAUAUGCAAUUAUUUCCAUCUAACUACCGUUUUUUCCAAAAAAUGCCAAGGAAGUUGCUACUCCAGCGAAGCUUCUUCUCAAUUUUUCGGCGUUGUCAGCUGUAAUGGGGGCCUACAAUGGACUAUUUAGAGCUUGAGCAAGCUAAUGGUAGCAACCUUACACAACCACAACACCUGCAGUAGCCCCUAUAAGAAAGGUAGCCUAUACUCCUUUUUCUUCAGUUUUUCGGCAAUAAUGACUGCCUCAAAGCUAAUUGCAGCAGAUCUAGGGCGAAGGAGGACUGGGAAAAUGGGUUGGCCGGUUAAAAAUCAAAUAAAUGGGGGAUGGUGGAACUGGUUAGCAUGGGAGGUGUGAGGGAAAGGAAGUGGGUGUAUGGGGGAAGAAGGGAAAUGGGAAGAAAAGGGAAAAUAAAUUGGGUUUUUGGGUACAUGUAUAAUAGUUAUAAUAAUAAUUAUUAUUGUAUUUACUUUAUCAUAUAUGCAUGCAUAUAUUUAUUAUUUUCAUAAUUAUAAAGCAGAGUCAUUUUAAUCAUUUGCAAAUAAAGUAUAGUGAAAAUGAUAGAGAUAUAUUUAUAAAGUUGGGUAUCUCAAAUAAGAUUUUUCAAACAUAAAGUCUUUAUAUUAUAUAAUACAUACUCGUAUCAGGUUAAUUAUGGAAUCACGAGGCAUAAAAUAAUUUCUUAUUUAAUUGUGCAUAAAAGAAAUAAAAUUA
Molecule: long non-coding RNA, 1031 nt
Filed under: Ricinus communis (castor bean)
Lineage: Eukaryota; Viridiplantae; Streptophyta; Magnoliopsida; Malpighiales; Euphorbiaceae
Description: long non-coding RNA (RCOM_LNC002518)
Source: RNAcentral